CACGUGCCCAGAAGGCGCGAAUUCGGAAUCGUCUGGUUACGCGCACGUUUAAUGACAUUACAAGGUAAAGGAGUGGAUGAAGAUCAAUCCACUCUUCGGGCCUUGGCUUACACUUGUGUUAUCUCUGGAAAUCCAGGUCUUGACCACACAUGAUCCUCCAUGAUGUUCUUCCUACAACACAGCGAUCAACCAUUCAGCCUUCUGAUUGUCAUGUCCGUAAAAGAAAUGACCACGGACAGAUCAAGAACAGUAAAAGACCCACGGCAAUGAGAAUACGACAGGCUUGCAUUGUUCGGUUGAGGUAAGAGAUUGUUUCUUCGUGUACAAUGGACUGCAUCGCUCUCUCCAGAAGGGACUUGGGUAGGUAGGCCGAAAUUAGGCCUCUUACCUAUGCAAAGGUGGGCUUAAAGGGGCUGCCUGCUUUUGUUACAUUGACCUAUCCACCAAUAUCAGAGCGGUUUGGGAGCCAACCCCAGGCAUCCCCGCCAAUCUGAUAUUGAUGACCUAUCCUGAGGAAAGGUCAUAUAACAAAGUGGACAACCCCUUUAAGAAAUAAUAUCUAUAAGACUACGGCAGACGACUGAACAUCUGUUCACGUUUUUGGAAAUCAGAAAUGUUAACCCCUGCCUACCUGUAAACAGUCAAGGGAAAGGAAUAAAACUCUGCUUGCUGUCUCUGCUGCCCUCAAUGGGCAAUAAUGGGUACUACGUGAGGAGAUGAAUGGGAUUCUGCACAUGCAGGCAGCAGAAUACGACAGAGAGGGCGUCAUCUCGCCAUUAAAAUCUACAUGAAGAGUGGAAAUGAGUUUUCUGUACUGACUAUGAGUUGGAUCAUGUUUUCUUCUCUAUUCAGGUCUAAAGCUAAAUACAUAAUUCUGGUUUUCCCAUCACCAGUGCAUUAUGGGAGCAUAGAUGGCGCUUGCACAGUCGGAGCUCAGCUGGUAGGUAGGUCAGUGGAGCUAAUAACCAGCAGCUAUGAAUGGUGGAGGAGACAUGAAAUAGCUCACAGUUAGUACAAAUGGAGUGAAAGCGAAGUUACAGAACAUUUAAUGCAGAUUUAAGCUCUGUUCAUAUCUGCGCCGGGGCCUUAAAAAAAUGACAGAAACAAGGCAGACCCCCAUGGACAGUGGUCUUAAAGAUUUAUUUUUUUUAAGAUUUUCAUACUGAUGACCUAUCCUCUGGAUAGGUCAUCCGUAUCUGAUCGGUGGGGGUCUGACACCCAGGUCCCCCGCUAAUCAGCUGUUUUAAGAAGGGCUUCUCUUUGCCUUUUCUAGGCCGAGUGACGACACGUUCAUCGGUCAUGUGGCCUAGGCGCAGCUCGGCCCCAUAGAAGUGUAUGGGCCUGAGUACAAUACCGAGCACAGUGACCAGGGACGGAUUGGCCAUAGACCUUACAGGGAAAUUUCCUGGUGGGCCGAUGCCCAGGGGGCACCCUGAGCCACCCUCACGGCCGGCUAAUGAAGGUUUUUGGGCAUGUAUUUUGUCCUGCUGGGGCAGGAUUUUGUGAUGGACUGUGGCAUUUGACUGUAUUUUGGGGUGGUUUAAUGUGUUGGCCCUGCCUUCCAUCAAUUUGGACCUGACUACAAACGGGGCAAUUUUUUCCAGGGCCACUUUAAGUUCCCAGUCCACCCCUGACAGCGACUAUACAAUGUACGGUGCUGUGCUCACAUGUAACAGGUCAGCCAGCUUCAUAGGUACAAUAUGCCCUUUAAGGCUUCAUGCAUAUGACAUAUUUCAGCCCGCAAAAACCGUAUACCUUCCAUAUGCAUUCUGUAAAUAUUCUUGUCUGCAGUACAGACCAGAUCAGGGCACGUUCUAUAAAUUGCAGAAUGAAAAGAUGGAUUUGCAAAAUACACUGAUGUAUACAUGACCUCCAUAGAAAUGAAUGGGUCAGUGCGCUAGCAGCGGAUAACACACGGAUGAAAAAUACGGCUUUGUGCAUGAGGCCUUAUCCUGGUGCUAAACUCACACUGACUUUCAGGGGGGCAGGAAGAAACAUGGAUGCUUGCCUAUAACGGACAGUCAGAGGAAGCGACAGAAGAAACGUACAUUUCAAUAUCUCAAUCAUCUUGCAAUAAAACCUAAAAGAAAGUAACCAUGCCACUAAAGCUACAGCCAAAAGAGAUCUGCAAAACGAGCCUACAACGGAAAAGCAGCAGGGGGCGACAAAUCUACGCAGGUAGGGAGCGCAGAACAGCGGCUUAGGCCAUGCUAACAGAGGGGGGCGCUCACAAGCCACACGGAACAUUCUUAUACAUUCAGCUUUUUAAAUAUAGGUGUGGGAUCCAUUAAAACUAUGUAAAAAUAUAGUAAAUGAUUUGGAUGUGAAAUGGCGCCCCCUCCCCAUUCGCGGACCCGUACCAGAGAGUCCUAUACACCUGAUGCCCAAUGAAAUUAAUUGCCAUUAACCCCUUAAUGAAUAGCUAAUAUUUAAAAUGCUUGCCUCUCUGUGUUUAAGCAGCCAUGACUUUAUUUCUUUCAUUAACACGGCUGUACGAGGCCUACUGUUAUGCAGUAGAAAUUGCAUUAUUUUUGACGCUGUUGGAGAGUAUACGUAUAUGUUUUCAUUGCAAAUCUAGAAAAAGAGAUUUUUGACAUUUGCUUUAUUUAUUUUUUAUACCGUACAUAUAUUUAACACUAAACAACCAGUUAAAUGAAUUGUUCAGGUUAUUACGGUCACGUGGAUACUUAAUUAGUGUAGAUUUAGUAUUUACUUUUUUGGCUUUUAUGUACGGUAUGCACGAUAAAAAGUAUGUAAAAUAAUCUCUGAUUUGUUUGUUUGCUGGCUUUUUUUCUUUUACAUAUUUUUUUAAAUCCCAUGAAGGAAUUACUAUCUUACAAAGUUGAUUUAUACUUUGAAUGUACUGACCCACUCCUUUAUGCCAGUACAUUAUUCUCAGUGUCUCUAUAGCUGCGAUUCGGACAACACUGGUGUGCCCUGCCCGCAGGAUUUCUGAACUUACAGACCUUUCUAGGUCCCCAGGGCUGACUGCAGAGGACUUACACAGCCUCCGAUCAGAUCACUGGGACCCAAUCAGAGCGGGAAUCCCCUUUGAUCAUGGCGUGGUCACAGAGCGGCAAUCAAAGGGUUUACAGUUGGGAUCGGAGCUCUCUCUGAUCCUGGCUGUAGAGCAAAAGGCUGCUCUAAGAACCAGAGCUGUUAGUUACAGUUUACAGAGCAGGACUGCUCCGCGUUCAGCUCCCUCUAAAACAGCAACUGUCAUUAAGGGGUUAAAGGCACACCCCAGGCAAAACUGGUGUCCUGUUAUUGCAAAGGAGACACAAAGAUUAAAAUAACACAAGAGAAUCCGUGUGUCAUGCUCUGCCAUAGGCAUCAGUGUUUCAAUUUUGUUUGGGGUGUUCCUUUAAAAGUGCUGAUGUUAUCCUCUAUCCACAGGAUAGGGGUUAAUUAACUAGUCACUGAGGUUCCGACCGCUUGGAUCCCCACCAAUCCCAUGGAAGGCUGGGGGUCGGGGGGGUCCAGGUUCUCUGUCCUGAUAGAAUGGCAGGCCGCACACGCUCCUUGCCGCGCCAUUUGUUCUCUAUGGGACCGUUGGAAAUAGCGGUGUAUUCUGGCGGUCCCACAGAGAAUAAAUGUAGCGGCGCGGUGCAACUGGGACCCCCACCAAUGCUGAGAACAGUUGCAUGGACAGGGGAUAACUUCAAAUCUUAGCACAAUCCCUUUAAAUAAACCUAUGCGUGCUCUCAUAGGACCACCUCUCCAUGGAAAUCAAUAGGCGCUAAUUGCACAGACCCCAAUUUUUCCACACAAUCUCCCAAAUGCAUCAGUAUCAGCUUGGUGGGAGUCGGAUACUCGGGACCCCCGCAGAUCAGCUGUUACUGGCUGCUGCUGAAAUGAAUGUGCCCAGAGCUGGAAGCAGAAGGCUCCAUAUACUGUAUAGUGUCUGUGUCAGGGUAGUGAACCUUAGCUCCCAUUCAGGGAUCUGAGCUGCCGUACUCCAGAAAAUACACCGCAUGUGGCACCUCAUUCAUAAAAUGUUCAGUUUCACCUUUGGUGCCGCAGCUGCCCGGUCGGGGCCUAAAGCCUGGCACAGAAGGGGCCUCUUCCUAGGCUGGCGACAUCCCAUUCAUAUGGCCUAGGUACAGCUCAGUCCAUUUUAACUGAACGGGGCUGAGCAGCGAUAUCAAGCACAACCGCUAUACAAUGGACGGCACUGUGCUUGGUGAGCUGCAAGGAUGCCGUGCUGCUUACUGGAGCACUGAUGCUUCUUCAAACAGAUGUUUGGCAGAGGUGCUGGGCGUUGGAUCCCCACCGAUCACAGAAUGAUGGCCUAUCCGGAGGAUAGGCCCAUCAGUAUGAAAAUCUCGGAAAACUGGAGUCCGAUCAACUGUUCACAAUCCCUGGUGCCAGAACCAGGCACCGGAAAUACACUGGUGGCAUCAGUUGACCAACGGGGUUACUGAGAGGCUCACCCCCACUAAUCUGAGAGGGACCUAAGGGUAGGAGAGUCCUAAUAAACCACUUCAUAGACAUUUAGUGGGGGAUCUGAACUAUUUUGAAGAGAACAGACCUUAUGUGUCCGAGGACAGCACGACUAACCAGUGCGGUCCCUGAAAGAUCUCCCAGCAUCCAUUAUAAAGAUUAGAAUACCGAAUUUCAGAAAUGCUGCAGCCAAUAAAAAUAAAUGAUGCGUAAUAUCAUAAAUAACACAGCGACAUACGGGGGUCAUUAUCCUAGCGUCGUACCAGAUUCAACCUGACCUACCCCGAAAGCUGAUCCAAGGAAUAAAAUAAUGGCCAGAUCUUAGGUUCCAGAAAAAUACCAUUAUUACUGAUGCAAACACAGACGUCAUGUCCUUAAUUUAUAUUACACUAGAAAAGAGCAAAGCUUCACACUAAUGCAUUCAAAAUGCCAAAACCGGGUUUUUUGUUUGUUAGUUUUUUUUUUUUUAAAGCCAGUAUAAAAUGCGUUAACCUCUUAGUCUCUCUGUAACCGUGGUCCACAGCACUGCAGGAGUUACAUUACCAAUGGACUGGACUGAUUAUUGGCCAGCAAGGGGCGCACAGUAAUUAAACAAUGGAGACUGCUAACCUUAUACCACCCCUUUAAAUUGAGUGGGUUAAAAGCACCAACACAAAUGCCCGCCAGACCAACAGAAGACAUUUUUCUUCAGCAAAUGAAGUCCAGAGCUGUUAAAGGGGUUUUCCGGCCUUGAAGCGGACAACCCCUAGGCUCCUAACCAGUGCCUCUUUAUAUAUAAAAACCCUGCUCACUUGUCCGCGGUUCCAUCACUGCUCAAUUCCCGGCCACCUCCGGUCCCCGCAUAGGCGCUCAAGCCAAUGUGACUGUCGACACGACACGGCUACCUGGUUCUGCGCGGUCAGGAAGUGGCUAGUAAUGGAGGAAUGUCAGGAUAGGGGUUUUUUUUUAAUGUUAAGGGACACAGGUUAGGACCCCAGUGUUGGCCAGAUAACCCCCUUAAAAGGGUUUUCCAGAACUUAAAUAUUAAUGACCCUAUAUCCAACUGUUUGAAAGGGCACUUGGACAGGCACUGCAGCUGCUUCUUAGUAUACCGAGCACAGCGCCAUACAUUGGAUAGUGGCUGUGCUUGGAACUGCAGUUUAUUCCCAUUCAGUUGUAGAAAGGCCAUGUGACCAAUGGAGUUGAUAUCACAGGCUAGGGUGAGCACCACAGUCUCCUCAAACAGCUGAUCGGCGGGAGAGCUGAAAGUCGGACCCCCACCGAUCAGAUAUUGACGACUUAUCCUAUUUAAA
This is a long non-coding RNA of Bufo gargarizans (Asiatic toad), 5735 nucleotides long. RefSeq lists it as uncharacterized. The transcript has 3 exons. Lineage: Eukaryota; Metazoa; Chordata; Amphibia; Anura; Bufonidae. The record is from RefSeq and is a predicted model, not a curated record.